UCCAACAAUUCUCAUUGGUAUUCAACAACUAUGGGUGUUGGCUCCAACAAUUCUCAUUGAUCUUCAACAACUAUGGGUGUUGGCUCCAACAAUUCUCAUUGGUCUCCAACAACUAUGGUGUUAGCUCCAACAAUUCUCACAUGCAUUGGUGGCAUGGGAGCUAUUAUGGGAGACAUGGGUGACAUGUGAGGCAUGGGAGUCAUGGGUGACUUCGGAGCUAUCAUUGACGACAUGGGUGGCUUCGGUGUUACAAUGGGAGGCAUGGGAGGCUUCAGUUCUACCAUGGGAGGCAUGAGAGGCAUGAGCUUUGGGUCUCUCAUGGAAGGCAUGGGAGCAUCUUCGGGUGACAUGGAUGGACACAUGUCUUCCGGUGUGUCUCACAUACCUUUGCAUGAUAUCGUUGGAGAUCUUGCCAACACCUUUCGAGCUCUCGAUGAUGAUGCAGCGUGCGACAAUGAAGAUGAGGAGGAAGAAACGUCUCCGGAUGAGGAAGAAGAAUAGGAGAAAAAGGAGGACGAUGAUGAGGAUGCGACAUUAUUGUUGAUGUGUUGUUUGUUUGUCAAAACUUUUAUGUCAUGAACUUGGUUGGGUAAUUUUGGACUUGGUUGGAGGAUGAUGUGGCAUGAUUGUUGAUAUGUCGUGCAAUUAAACUAUGUAUUUUUUUUAUGUUUGGA
Molecule: long non-coding RNA, 674 nt
Filed under: Hordeum vulgare
Lineage: Eukaryota; Viridiplantae; Streptophyta; Magnoliopsida; Poales; Poaceae
Description: long non-coding RNA (HVUL_LNC002834)
Source: RNAcentral